UUGUAAUUGGAAUGAUGGGAAUUUAAACCUCUUCCAGAGUAUCAAUUGGAGGGCAAGUCUGGUGCCAGCAGCCGCGGUAAUUCCAGCUCCAAUAGCGUAUAUUAAAAUUGUUGCAGUUAAAAAGCUCGUAGUUGAAUUUCUGCUGCAUUGUUUCUUCUCAUGUCGAGUGAUUCAUUGUGGCUUAUUUCGGAUUGUUUUUUACUUUCCGGAUGAUUACUUUGAGAAAAUUAGAGUGCUCAAAGCAGGCUUUUGCCUUGAAUAGUUUAGCAUGGAAUAAUAAAGUAGGACUUUGGUUCUAUUUUGUUGGUUUUAGGUACCAAAGUAAUGGUUAAUAGGAACAGUUGGGGGCAUUCGUAUUUAACUGUCAGAGGUGAAAUUCUUAGAUUUGUUAAAGACGAACUACUGCGAAAGCAUUUGCCAAGGAUGUUUUCAUUAAUCAAGAACGAAAGUUAGGGGAUCGAAGACGAUCAGAUACCGUCGUAGUCCUAACCAUAAACUA
RNAcentral lists this ribosomal RNA (499 nucleotides) under Theileria sp. Its description in RNAcentral is "SSU rRNA". It matches the Rfam family "Eukaryotic small subunit ribosomal RNA", at positions 503 to 1039 of the family's 1831-position model. The record is from RNAcentral. Lineage: Eukaryota; Apicomplexa; Aconoidasida; Piroplasmida; Theileriidae.